RNAcentral lists this ribosomal RNA (585 nucleotides) under Ramaria pinicola. RNAcentral describes it as "partial 25S large subunit ribosomal RNA". It matches the Rfam family "Eukaryotic large subunit ribosomal RNA", at positions 65 to 628 of the family's 3401-position model. Lineage: Eukaryota; Fungi; Basidiomycota; Agaricomycetes; Gomphales; Gomphaceae. The record is from RNAcentral.
CUAACAAGGAUUCCCCUAGUAACGGCGAGUGAAGCGGGAAGAGCUCAAAUUUGUAAUCUGGCGGUCUCAGGCCGUCCGAGUUGUAGUCUGGAGAAGCGUUUUCCGCGCCGGAUCGUGUACAAGUCCCUUGGAACAGGGCGUCAUAGAGGGUGAGAAUCCCGUCUUCGACACGAACUACCGGUGCUCUGUGAUGCGCUCUCAAAGAGUCGAGUUGUUUGGGAAUGCAGCUCAAAACGGGUGGUAAAUUCCAUCUAAAGCUAAAUAUUGGCGAAAGACCGAUAGCGAACAAGUACCGUGAGGGAAAGAUGAAAAGCACUUUGGAAAGAGAGUUAAACAGUACGUGAAAUUGUUGAAAGGGAAACGAUUGAAGUCAGUCGCGUCUUCCGGGACUCAGCCUUGCUUUUUGCCUGGCGCAUUUCCCGGGGUUGACGGGCCAGCAUCGAUUUCGGUCGACGGAAAAAGGCAGGGGGAAUGUGGCACCUUCGGGUGUGUUAUAGCCCCCUGUCGCAUGCGUCGACUGGGAUCGAGGAUCGCAGCACGCCUUUAAUGGCCGGGGUUCGCCCACGUAACGUGCUUAGGAUGCUG